Molecule: long non-coding RNA, 1230 nt
Filed under: Manacus vitellinus (golden-collared manakin)
Lineage: Eukaryota; Metazoa; Chordata; Aves; Passeriformes; Pipridae
Description: lncRNA (ENSMVIG00005000086.1)
Source: RNAcentral
GGCCCAGGAGCCAGGAUCCCCCCGGAGCUCACCCAGCCCUCCUGUGCUCAAGGCUCCAGAGCCUUGCUGGAACAGGGAGAUGUCAGCACUCUGACUGCCUGAUGGUUGAAUCUGCAAGUUCAUAAGAGAGUUUCUUGUUGAUGGUUUUUGUAAGGACUUGUCUGAUGGGUCACUCUGGUUCAAAAGAUUUUUCCCAGCAUUCAAGUGCUUUACUUCCUAGGCUUGUCUGGAAGCACGUGUUUAUCUGCUUUUCCCUGCUUGUAUGGCUCUCUGCUUUGGAGCGAGGUGCUGGAAAUCCCUGUGUCUAUGCCAGCAGCAGCAGCCUUCCACCAUUCCCACAUUUAAAGGAGAAGGGAAACUCUGUCAUGCUUUUGAGAUCUCAAAAAAGUGAACAGCUGGCAGUGCAACCUCUCUGGGCCUGAUCUCCCAGAGUGUUCCGGAACGGCCCAGUGUGUGUGAGGACGUGGAUCACCUCUCCACAGGGCACAGCUCACCCUGCAAGGGGCACCUGGGGCAUGGGCUGCCCAAUGUGAGCUGUCCCCGGGGUCAUUUUGGGGCUGAAAAUGGUAAAGCUGGAGGCGCCUCGGCACAUGGAUUCCACCGGCUGCCAGGACCUGGGCAUGCCAGCAGUGAGGGACAAUGGGGAUGUUCCACAGAGGGCUGGGCUGCUGCUGUGUAACAAUGGGUGACCUGUGCCAGGGUGGGCCAUCACCUUGAAACAGGGGACACCAUAAACAGAGCCACAUGUAGCAAGGAACGAGGGGGAGACCGCAGGGGAAGGAGCCUGUCAGCAGCCAUGGCAGAGCUCACCCUGGGCCAGAUAUUGGAUUCGGCCAUCGGGAUGCCCAAGACUGAUCCCAUCAACUUCGAGCAACUGCGCAACCUGCUGAACGGGAUGCUUGUGAACCUGGGCCUGCGGGAUCUGGUCGUCCAGGAGAGCGGGGAACCCCCGGAGGGGACCCCGACAAUCCCCCCAGCUGCCUCCAUGGCUGCUGACCUUGAGGAGUUAAAGCAGAAAACGGAAGCCAAUGAAAGAGAAAUCGCUGAGGUCAGGGCUCUUUGCGAGGAGCUCCGUGUGGAGAUCAACGAGGUGAAGGAGCAGCAGUCCCACAUGGAGGAGAACAUGCAGAAGAUGCAGGAGAUUCUGGACACGGUGAGCUGCCAGCGGUGCCCCUGGGAGCUGCCCCUUACUGUGUUGCCCUGCCAUCCUGCUCUACAGCCCUUGGUGGC